RNAcentral lists this ribosomal RNA (236 nucleotides) under uncultured Actinomycetales bacterium. RNAcentral's name for it is "partial 16S ribosomal RNA". It matches the Rfam family "Bacterial small subunit ribosomal RNA", at positions 96 to 334 of the family's 1533-position model. The record is from RNAcentral. Lineage: Bacteria; Bacillati; Actinomycetota; Actinomycetes; Actinomycetales.
UGGCUAACGGGUGAGUAACACGUGGGCAAUCUGCCCUGCACUCUGGGAUAAGCCUGGGAAACUGGGUCUAAUACCGGAUAGGACCUUUCUCCUCAUGGGGUUUGGUGGAAAGUUUUUCGGUGCAGGAUGAGCCCGCGGCCUAUCAGCUUGUUGGUGGGGUAAUGGCCUACCAAGGCGACGACGGGUAGCCGGCCUGAGAGGGGGAUCGGCCACACUGGAACUGAGACACGGUCCAG